AGUGGUAUAUCUGGGUCAAAUGGUGGUUCCGUUCCAAGCUUUUUAAGGAAUCUCCAUACUUCUUCCCAGAUUGGUUGCACCAAUUUGUAGUCCCACCAGCAAU
This 103-nucleotide microRNA precursor is filed under the name Marmota monax (woodchuck). The record is from RNAcentral. Lineage: Eukaryota; Metazoa; Chordata; Mammalia; Rodentia; Sciuridae.